RNAcentral lists this ribosomal RNA (402 nucleotides) under uncultured bacterium. Its description in RNAcentral is "bacterial SSU rRNA". It matches the Rfam family "Bacterial small subunit ribosomal RNA", at positions 355 to 774 of the family's 1533-position model. The record is from RNAcentral.
UGGGGAAUAUUGCACAAUGGGCGAAAGCCUGAUGCAGCAACGCCGCGUGAGUGAUGAAGGCCUUCGGGUUGUAAAGCUCUGUCUUCUGGGACGAUAAUGACGGUACCAGAGGAGGAAGCCACGGCUAACUACGUGCCAGCAGCCGCGGUAAUACGUAGGUGGCAAGCGUUGUCCGGAUUUACUGGGCGUAAAGGAUGCGUAGGCGGAUACUUAAGUCAGAUGUGAAAAUCCCGGGCUUAACUUGGGAACUGCAUUUGAAACUGGGUAUCUAGAGUGCGGGAGAGGAAAGUGGAAUUCCUAGUGUAGCUGUGAAAUGCGUGGAGAUUAGGAAGAACACCAGUGGCGAAGGCGACUUUCUGGACCGUAACUGACGCUGAGGCAUGAAAGCGUGGGGAGCAAACA